UUUUUAAAAGAUCUAUUUAUUUAUAUUAGAGAGAGAAAGCACGUGCUGCCAACUACCUUUGCUAUUCUGAAAUUCUAUCGUUCACUGACUGACACUAGGGCAUCUCGUACUGUCAUCUCUGGCCUGCAUUCACCAUUUACCAUUGAGCCCAUAACUACAUUAAUUCCUACUCACUACUCAAUCUUACUCCUUUAGUAAAAGGAUGUUUUCUAGGCUUUCCCAGGGAACAGUCAGCUGGUAGGUCACACAAAAUAAACCCAUUCUAAGAAACCCACUACUCUGAGAUCUCCUGACCCUUUCCUUAAUAAUCUGCCCAGGCAGCUCUGAAUUCUCCUUUACUAUAGAUUACCAGUGUGUUCAAGCUUCACGUGGACAUUCUUACAGGGUGUUAGGACUUAUUGAGAAGUUAAAUAAUCAGCCACUGGAGAGUACCUUCCUAUCAAUAACCUCUCUCUUACUCAGCCUUACACACUGCGGGUUCAAGACUCUCAAGAUCUAUUACCUUAUGAAAUUCUUGGUUUCUGUUGAUAUGCUAAUCUGUGACUUUUCUUGUGAACAGUUUCCUUAUGUACUAGAGAUUCUAUUUUUCACCACUGUGCUGAGGUCUAACCCUGGUUAUUGGUGAAGAACCAAUGAGAGAAGGUUAAGGGCUCAAUAUCAUCUUGUGAGGCAACUAAGAUAAAGCCUUGAAUGGAGUCUAGGGAGGCCGUUUUCCUCCAGAAAAGGGGCAAAGAUCCUUCUCUGUAUUCCCAGAAGGCUCAGGAACCCAGAGGUUUAGAGACCUCAAGCACAUGUGCCCAAAUGUCCUCAUCUCAGUCUCAGAGUCUCUCUCCUUCCCCUUUAGGACUUGACAUUAGCCAGGAAACAUGUCAGUCUGUGCAUUCAAUCUCUUUAUAACUCUAACAAUAAUAAGAAUAAUCUAAUUCUAAUAAUCUAAGAAUAAUCAAAUUCUGGGCCGAAUUUAAAGUACAGUAUAAUUUCUGGUUUCAGAAGACAAAGAACUUUCUGAACACUGUCAUGGAGAAUUUCUGGCUUUCUCAGCAUGUUCAGAUUGAUAAGAACCUAUCAUUCUGUUUCCCCAAAGCUUUUAUAGCAGUCAACAACCACCCAACUCCACAAUCUUUGUAAUUACAAUGGCCCUAUAUCUUUUAAGUGCUGAAGCUACCGCACACAAGUUUCCUGUUCAACCUGUACUUCAUCCUAAUCUACCACAGGUAAAGUGACUAUGUCUUAGUCAUU
This 1239-nucleotide long non-coding RNA is filed under the name Canis lupus familiaris (dog). Its description in RNAcentral is "lncRNA (ENSCAFG00845017592.1)". The record is from RNAcentral. Lineage: Eukaryota; Metazoa; Chordata; Mammalia; Carnivora; Canidae.